CCUACGGGAGGCAGCAGUGGGGAAUAUUGAACAAUGGGGGCAACCCUGAUCCAGCCAUGCCGCGUGUGUGAAGAAGGCCCUCGGGUUGUAAAGCACUUUCAGUGAGGAAGAACGCCUGGUGGUUAAUACCCAUCAGGAAAGACAUCACUCACAGAAGAAGCACCGGCUAACUCCGUGCCAGCAGCCGCGGUAAUACGGAGGGUGCGAGCGUUAAUCGGAAUUACUGGGCGUAAAGCGCGCGUAGGUGGCUUGAUAAGCCGGUUGUGAAAGCCCCGGGCUCAACCUGGGAACGGCAUCCGGAACUGUCAAGCUAGAGUGCAGGAGAGGAAGGUAGAAUUCCCGGUGUAGCGGUGAAAUGCGUAGAGAUCGGGAGGAAUACCAGUGGCGAAGGCGGCCUUCUGGACUGACACUGACACUGAGGUGCGAAAGCGUGGGUAGCAAACAGGAUUAGAUACCCGGGUAGUC
RNAcentral lists this ribosomal RNA (465 nucleotides) under Vreelandella stevensii. Its description in RNAcentral is "partial 16S ribosomal RNA". It matches the Rfam family "Bacterial small subunit ribosomal RNA", at positions 338 to 795 of the family's 1533-position model. Lineage: Bacteria; Pseudomonadati; Pseudomonadota; Gammaproteobacteria; Oceanospirillales; Halomonadaceae. The record is from RNAcentral.